RNAcentral lists this ribosomal RNA (182 nucleotides) under Rhynchobatus australiae (whitespotted wedgefish). Its description in RNAcentral is "partial 12S rRNA". Lineage: Eukaryota; Metazoa; Chordata; Chondrichthyes; Rhinopristiformes; Rhynchobatidae. The record is from RNAcentral.
CACCGCGGUUAUACGAGUAACACAUAUUAAUACUCCACGGCGUAAAGGGUGAUUAAAAACAAUCUAACUCACACUAAAGUUAAAACCUCAUCAAGCUGUCAUACGCACCCAUGAGUAAAAAACACAACAACGAAAGUGACUUUAUCACAAAAAGAACUUUUGACCUCACGACAGUUAAGACC